UACAGAGGGUGCAAGCGUUGUUCGGAAUUACUGGGCGUAAAGCGCGUGUAGGCGGUUUGGCAAGUCAGACGUGAAAUCCCUUGGCUCAACUGAGGAACUGCGUCUGAUACUGCUAGGCUAGAGUGUCGGAGGGGAUGGUGGAAUUCCCGGUGUAGAGGUGAAAUUCGUAGAUAUCGGGAGGAACACCCGUGGCGAAGGCGACCAUCUGGAAGACAACUGACGCUGAGACGCGAAAGCGUGGGUAGCAAACAGG
This 253-nucleotide ribosomal RNA is filed under the name uncultured bacterium. RNAcentral describes it as "partial 16S ribosomal RNA". It matches the Rfam family "Bacterial small subunit ribosomal RNA", at positions 524 to 776 of the family's 1533-position model. The record is from RNAcentral.